GUAUAUGGCAUUGACCUGGUGAAGAACAAAGAAUGCGCAGCAGCGCUGGUGAAGAGCAAAGCAUAACAUCACAGCGCUGGAAACUUCGUUGUAUCAAGAUCAAUAAAUCCCAUAGAGUUGAGACGCUAGAGUAAUUUGUUUGGCUUGGUGAUCAUAAAAACUGAGACUUUGUCAUCCCAGCUAGUUCACCUCAGUGGUGGGUGUGAGUUGCCGACGACGUGAUUUAGAUUUCGAAAGGCGACAUCUUCGUAUGUCAAGGAGUUCUGAAGCUGAGAGUGCAUCUUCAAUAAUAUAAGCCCAUCUUAAUCACGAGUCUUUUGUGCGCGGCAGCGAACCCGGGACUGAAUAGCUGGAAUAGGCCUUGAACUAAAAUUCACCUCUCGCUGAGAUCAACAAAUUUCGCUGCCCAAAUUUGAUGUCCUGGCUAUUUCACUGCAGGUGCUGCAAACGUCGAUAAUCUAGUCACUGCAUUGCCAAAUUUUCCCCUAUCACGAAGCAAAGCAACUCAGCAACCGUUAUUAUAUAAACCAUAUUUGAUUUACAAGGUUCCCAACUAUAAUUGCUCAUGAACAAGAAUGGAAACAUGAGAUGAGUUAGCUGUUGUACAGACUUUAAGGACAGUUUAGCAAACGAGCUAACAAAGCUAUGUCAAGAACUUAGUUAACCAAAACUUAAAUAUCUCAACAACCUCAUCAUCUUGGUACCUUUCAACAAGAGAACGAUUCAUGCUUGAGUAUAUUCCGCAAUAAUUAGCACCAAAAGCCAUGAAGACUCCCCCCACACAACAACAGGAAUCAAAUACCAGCACGAAGCACCCAUACUUAUACAGAUUUUGCAACCAAACAAAAAGGAAUCGAACUAUAAUAGCUUAUCACAAACUCUCACAUAUGCAUAAGAUGCAUCAAACAUUGUUAUACUCAUACGAGGCAGUAGGACUUAGCUUUUAGAAUGA
Molecule: long non-coding RNA, 952 nt
Filed under: Salvia miltiorrhiza (redroot sage)
Lineage: Eukaryota; Viridiplantae; Streptophyta; Magnoliopsida; Lamiales; Lamiaceae
Description: long non-coding RNA (SMIL_LNC012549)
Source: RNAcentral